RNAcentral lists this long non-coding RNA (458 nucleotides) under Vigna radiata. RNAcentral's name for it is "long non-coding RNA (VRAD_LNC003387)". The record is from RNAcentral. Lineage: Eukaryota; Viridiplantae; Streptophyta; Magnoliopsida; Fabales; Fabaceae.
UUAAUUAUGAUAUCGAGUAUGUUGAUAAUGGUAUUGGAUGGGAUACUUAUAAUGCAUAUCUCAUAAAAGAAGGUGCAUUUGUGGCCUUGAUGGGAAAAAAGAAGUCAUAACUUCAAGGUAUAUUGUAUGGAGAUUGUAGUGGAAAUGAUGGAAGAAGUAUGAGUGGUGCGUAUGGUGAGGUAGUGUCUCUACAAGAUGUUGAUGGGUAUGAUGCUAUGUUGCUACAAGAAGAAAAUAUGGAGACAAAAAUGGGAAGGGAGAUGAGAAACAAAAUUCAUUGACAAAAUAUAAGGAUUAUGUAACUCAUGUUAUUAGAAAAGUAAAGUAUUUGGAAAGUUCAUCUACUCAACAACAUGCCUCAAAUACUUGUGACCUUAUUAUUAACUCUGUAAGUAAUGAACGAUUUGCUACUAGACAUCAAAAUUUUGUUGCAGCUUUAACAAAAGGGAAAGAACCUA